CAAGGCACCACAAAAAUGUACAUCGAGGAAACCAAUUUUAAAAAUUAAAUAUAUUUAAGUUCAGAUGGCUUCAAAUAUUUAAAACCACAAAAUUGACCUUAAUCUGGACCAGGAUCCCUAAAAUCUUCAGAAAUUCAAACAAGGAUGCCCCAAACGUGAUCAGCUUUACUUUCCUAUAAUGUUGUUCAUAUACCCAAACUCGAAGGAGUUUCACAUUAAGAAGAGCAGCAGACGCGGAAUAAUUUGUUCGAGCCCCUUGAAAUUCAUUUUACAAAUGCAUUUCUUGCAGUUCGAAAAUCUUUCUCUGCCAGGUGUUGAUUUUUGAAAUGUGAAGCUCAUUCGAUUUUGAAUAUAUGAGCAACAUUUCUUGAUAUGUAAGAGCAACGAAGUGCGUCGAAUAAGCUGGGAAUUGUCUGCCAGAAACAAAACUAUAUAAAUCCAGAAAUACGGGUUUAAUGAUCAGGACGUUCAAAUCACAUGGCUGAUAUACAUCCAAACCAUCUAAAAUAUGGCUUGCUUGCCAUGAAACAGUCUUAAAUUGAGAAAUACACAAACUCAAAAUAAUUGACACCUUAAUAUAAGAAGAGAUUUGAAGUGAUUUCAAAUUUUGAUUACACGGUGUGGACGGAACAGAAAUAUCCGAAAACCAGGAAAAAUAUAUCGGCAAAAUUCCAAACGUUCAAUUAUCAAAUUGAAAGUACAAUAUAAGCAUACCAAAUAAAACUCGGCUGUUUGCAGGCAUUCAAUUAAU
Non-coding RNA from Drosophila melanogaster (fruit fly), 751 nucleotides. NCBI's taxonomy places the organism in Eukaryota, Metazoa, Arthropoda, Insecta, Diptera, Drosophilidae. The record is from Ensembl.